RNAcentral lists this ribosomal RNA (1258 nucleotides) under Fuligo sp. BX-2002. Its description in RNAcentral is "SSU rRNA". It matches the Rfam family "Eukaryotic small subunit ribosomal RNA", at positions 4 to 1162 of the family's 1831-position model. Lineage: Eukaryota; Evosea; Eumycetozoa; Physariida; Physaraceae. The record is from RNAcentral.
CUGGUUGAUCCUGCCAUAGUGUAUGCUUCUCCUAAAGACUAAGCCAUGCAUGCCUUCGAAUAGAAGAGCAAGUCUCUCUGAAUCUGCGUACGGCUCCGCAAACCAGUUGUAAACCAUAGCUAGCAGGUCUCGGAGACGACCGCAAGGUCGUAGCUGGGGCCAAAAGGAUAUCCAUGGUAAUUCUGAGGCUAAUACUUGACUGUAACCCCUGGCUGACCGGGCAACUGGUAGGCUGGGGGACGUGUACGGCUUCGCACACCAUUAAGGAAUGAAUGCACGUUCAGACCGCUUUUCAACACAGAUAGGGGGUAAUCCUUCGGGAGAUAACCCUUGCCUGAGCGGCUCUAGCACGGUGCUUCUGACCUAUCAACUAGAUGGCAGCGUAACGGACAUGCUAUGGUGACAACGGGUACAGAGGAUAAGGGUUCGAUCCUGGAGAGUGGGCCUGAGAGAUUGCUCACACUUCUAAGGAAGGCAGCAGGCGCGCAACGUUCCCAUUGGACAAUGUCCGAGGGCGUUAGGGGACAUAUGAAUGUCUGCCUUAUGGUGGACAAUUCAAAUGGGUUUGUUCUAAACAACCUUUCGAGUAACAAUUAGAGGACAAGUCUGGUGCCAGCACCCGCGGUAAUUCCAGCUCUAAUAGCAUACGUUAAAAUUGUUGCGGUUAAAACGCUCGUAGUCUGCAUAAGAUCCUCAGAAGCCUUUCGCUAGGUCCUUAGGUUCGUCGCCCUGCCAAAGGGCACACCUGGGGGUCAGCAAGGGGGGACGGGGGUCAACCGUACACUGGGCCGUCUCCGUCUAACGGUGUUCACAGGGGCUCCUGGCUGGCUUCGGCUUCCGGGCGGCUCUGGUCUGGGUACCAUCUACCAUGACUAAACUGGAGUGAUCAAAGCAUGUCUUUCGACACGUACAGCGCAGCAUGGAAUAAGCUCACCCAUCUGGCCCGCGAAACCGGGUGGGUAGACGCAAUAGGGAUGUUCGAGGGUGACCGAAUUGCUGGGCGAGUGGUGAAAUACGUUGACCCUAGCAAGUCGACCAAAGGCGAAAGCAGUCAUCAAGGGCAUACCCGUUGAUCAAGAGCGAAAGUUAAGGGUUCGAAGACGAUCAGAUACCGUCGUAGUCUUAACUAUAAAUGAUACAGACUAGGGAUAGGACACUGUCCAUCUCGACUCCUCCUGAAUCUUUGAGAAAUUACCAGUCUUUGGGUUACUGGGGGGAGUAUGGUCGCAAGGCUGAAACUUAAAGGAAUUGACGGAAG